UACAGAGGGGGCAAGCGUUGUUCGGAAUUACUGGGCGUAAAGGGCGCGUAGGCGGCUUGCCGAGUCAGGGGUGAAAUCUUUCGGCUCAACCGGAAAACCGCCCCUGAUACCGGUAGGCUGGAGGGAGGUAGGGGCAGACGGAACUUCCGGUGGAGCGGUGAAAUGCGUAGAUAUCGAGAGGAACACCGGUGGCGAAGGCGGCCAACUGGACAGAUACUGACGCUGAGACACGAAAGCGUGGGGAGCAAACAGG
RNAcentral lists this ribosomal RNA (253 nucleotides) under uncultured bacterium. RNAcentral describes it as "partial 16S ribosomal RNA". It matches the Rfam family "Bacterial small subunit ribosomal RNA", at positions 524 to 776 of the family's 1533-position model. The record is from RNAcentral.